AUUUGCACACUGAGAGCUGAGAACUCGGAGAAAGAUAAAGAGAGCAGAAUGAAGAAAAACAGAAUCCAAACUCUCCAAAGAGAGAACACUGAAUUACAAUCAGAGAACCAGUCACUAAAGAAGCAGGUAUCAUCACAAUCACACAAACCAAAAA
Long non-coding RNA from Amphimedon queenslandica, 154 nucleotides. RefSeq lists it as uncharacterized. NCBI's taxonomy places the organism in Eukaryota, Metazoa, Porifera, Demospongiae, Haplosclerida, Niphatidae. The transcript has 2 exons. The record is from RefSeq and is a predicted model, not a curated record.